This 484-nucleotide ribosomal RNA is filed under the name uncultured bacterium. RNAcentral's name for it is "partial 16S ribosomal RNA". It matches the Rfam family "Bacterial small subunit ribosomal RNA", at positions 30 to 507 of the family's 1533-position model. The record is from RNAcentral.
AUUGAACGCUGGCGGCAGGCCUAACACAUGCAAGUCGAGCGGAUGAAGGGAGCUUGCUCCUGGAUUCAGCGGCGGACGGGUGAGUAAUGCCUAGGAAACUGCCUGGUAGUGGGGGAUAACGUCCGGAAACGGGCGCUAAUACCGCAUACGUCCUGAGGGAGAAAGUGGGGGAUCUUCGGACCUCACGCUAUCAGAUGAGCCUAGGUCGGAUUAGCUAGUUGGUGGGGUAAAGGCCUACCAAGGCGACGAUCCGUAACUGGUCUGAGAGGAUGAUCAGUCACACUGGAACUGAGACACGGUCCAGACUCCUACGGGAGGCAGCAGUGGGGAAUAUUGGACAAUGGGCGAAAGCCUGAUCCAGCCAUGCCGCGUGUGUGAAGAAGGUCUUCGGAUUGUAAAGCACUUUAAGUUGGGAGGAAGGGCAGUAAGUUAAUACCUUGCUGUUUUGACGUUACCAACAGAAUAAGCACCGGCUAACCUCGUG